AAAAUAAUCCUACCCUUUGUGAAUUUUGUUUGUUUGAAUAAUUUUUUUUUAAAAAAUUAUUGGAGUCUUUCCCUUUAAGUUUGCUUUUGAGUUUGUAAAAGAAUUCGAAAACAUCUAAAGGGGAUGGUCAAUAAUUUUUUUGAAAAAAGACAUUUUUUAAAAUUAAACUUUUUGUAUUCAUUUGUCUAAAAAUUAUUUUUAUAAUAUAAAAACAACUUUGACAAUGGAUCUCUUGGUUCUCGCAACGAUGAAGAACGCAGCAAAUGCGAUAAGUAGUGUGAAUUGCAGAAUACGUGAAUCAUCGAAUCUUUGAACGCAUAUUGCACUUUUUAGUUUACUAAAAAGUAUGUCUGUUUGAGUAUCAGUAAAAUAUUCUCAUAAAAAUCAUUGUGUAUUUUAUGGUUAUGAGUGUUUACAACGAUACAAGUUGUUUCACUUUAAAUUUUUUUUUAGUAUUGAAAUUUUUCUAAUUUUAAUAAUUAAAAUUGGAUAAAAUUUUCCCGUCAAAAGGAAUAACCUAAACAAUUUUAAAUGAUUAAUUUAGCAAAAUUUUCGAAAAAAGGAAAAUUUUUAUUAAAUAACUUGAUCUCAAAUCAGAUAAGAGUACCCGCUGAACUUAAGCAUAUCAAUAAGCGGAGGAAAAGAAACUAACAAGGAUUCCUUAGUAACGGCGAGUGAAGCGGGAAGAGCUCAAAUUUGAAAUCUUCAAGGUUUUACCUUGACGAAUUGUAGUUAAAGAAGUGUUUUCUGCUGAAGUUUUGGUAAAAGUUCUUUGGAAUAGGACAUCAUAGAGGGUGAGAAUCCCGUAUUUGACCAUUAUUUUCAGCUUUGUGAUACACUUUCAAAGAGUCGGAUUGUUUGGGAAUGCAGUCCAAAAUGGGUGGUAAAUUUCAUCUAAAGCUAAAUAUUGGCGAGAGACCGAUAGCGAACAAGUACCGUGAGGGAAGAUGAAAAGAACUUUGAAAAGAGAGUUAAACAGUACGUGAAAUUGUCAAAAGGGAAGCGUUUGUCACCAGUGUUGUUUUCUCGAAAAUCAAUUAAAAAUGGCUCGAUUUUGUAUUGCUGAGACCUUAAAAGCCCACUGUACAUUUUUCGUGUCUUUUUUAAUGCACUUUUCGUUUAACAAGUCAACAUCAGUUUCUUUUGUUGUAAAAGGGUCAUUGGAAGGUGGCUUCUUUUCGGAGAAAGUGUUUAUAGCCUUUGGCCUCUGCAAUCGAGAGACUGAGGUCUGCAGCGUAGACUCUUCGGGGUUAGAUACAUUUGUGCUAAGUUAUAGCUUUUUAUAGACAACUUGUUGACUAUAAUUAGUCUUGUAGCUUACUCGCUUAUGCUAUUU
This 1336-nucleotide unclassified non-coding RNA is filed under the name uncultured Neocallimastigales. RNAcentral's name for it is "partial contains internal transcribed spacer 1, 5.8S ribosomal RNA, internal transcribed spacer 2, and large subunit ribosomal RNA". The stretch from base 584 to 1336 matches the Rfam family "Eukaryotic large subunit ribosomal RNA", at positions 1 to 617 of the family's 3401-position model. The record is from RNAcentral. Lineage: Eukaryota; Fungi; Neocallimastigomycota; Neocallimastigomycetes; Neocallimastigales.